AACGAACGCUGGCGGCAGGCCUAACACAUGCAAGUCGAACGCCGUAGCAAUGCGGAGUGGCAGACGGGUGAGUAACACGUGGGAACGUACCCUUCGGUUCGGAAUAACUCAGGGAAACUUGAGCUAAUACCGGAUACGUCCGAGAGGAGAAAGAUUUAUCGCCGAGGGAUCGGCCCGCGUCUGAUUAGCUUGUUGGUGAGGUAACGGCUCACCAAGGCGACGAUCAGUAGCUGGUCNGAGAGGAUGAUCAGCCACAUUGGGACUGAGACACGGCCCAAACUCCUACGGGAGGCAGCAGUGGGGAAUAUUGGACAAUGGGCGCAAGCCUGAUCCAGCCAUGCCGCGUGAGUGAUGAAGGCCCUAGGGUUGU
This 370-nucleotide ribosomal RNA is filed under the name uncultured bacterium. RNAcentral describes it as "bacterial SSU rRNA". It matches the Rfam family "Bacterial small subunit ribosomal RNA", at positions 29 to 426 of the family's 1533-position model. The record is from RNAcentral.